UACGUAGGGUGCGAGCGUUAAUUGGAAUUACUGGGCGUAAAGCGUGCGCAGGCGGUUCGCUGUGUCCUGUGUGAAAGCCCCGGGCUUAACCUGGGAAUGGCAUGGGAAACUGGCGGGCUGGAGUGUGGCAGAGGGGGGUGGAAUUCCGCGUGUAGCAGUGAAAUGCGUAGAGAUGCGGAGGAACACCGAUGGCGAAGGCAGCCCCCUGGGCUAACACUGACGCUCAGGCACGAAAGCGUGGGGAGCAAACAGG
This 253-nucleotide ribosomal RNA is filed under the name uncultured bacterium. RNAcentral describes it as "partial 16S ribosomal RNA". It matches the Rfam family "Bacterial small subunit ribosomal RNA", at positions 524 to 776 of the family's 1533-position model. The record is from RNAcentral.